Molecule: non-coding RNA, 21 nt
Filed under: Caenorhabditis elegans
Lineage: Eukaryota; Metazoa; Nematoda; Chromadorea; Rhabditida; Rhabditidae
Source: RNAcentral
UAGAACGACGCCAACGAUAUU